GUACACGCUGUGACUAGCAUAUCAAUAAGCGGAGGAAAAGAAACUAACAAGGAUUCCCUUAGUAACGGCGAGUGAAGCGGGAAGAGCUCAAAUUUGAAAUCUUCAAGGUUUUACCUUGACGAAUUGUAGUUUAAAGAAGUGUUUUCUGCUGAAGUUUUGGUAAAAGUUCUUUGGAAUAGGACAUCAUAGAGGGUGAGAAUCCCGUAUUUGACCAUUAUUUACAGCUUUGUGACUACACUUUCAAAGAGUCGGAUUGUUUGGGAACGCAGUCCAAAAUGGGUGGUAAAUUUCAUCUAAAGCUAAAUAUUGGCGAGAGACCGAUAGCGAACAAGUACCGUGAGGGAAAGAUGAAAAGAACUUUGAAAAGAGAGUUAAACAGUACGUGAAAUUGUCAAAAGGGAAGCGUUUGACACCAGUGUUGUUUUCUCGAAAAUCAAUUAAAAAUGGCUCGAUUUUGUAUUGCUGAGACCUUAAAAGCUCACUGUACAUUUUUCGUGUCUUUUUUAAUGCACUUUUCGUUUAACAAGUCAACAUCAGUUUCUUUUGUUGUAAAAGGGUCAUUGGAAGGUGGCUUUCUUUUCGGAGAAAGUGUUUAUAGCCUUUGGCCUCUGCAAUCGGAGAGACUGAGGUCUGCAGCGUAGACUCUUCGGGGUUAGAUACAUUUGUGCUAAGUUAUAGCUUUUUAUAGACAACUUGUUGACUAUAAUUAGUCUUGUAGCUUACUCGCUUAUGCUAUUUUACCUACGCUUAGGAGUUGAUCUACAGAGCGAGAGU
RNAcentral lists this ribosomal RNA (774 nucleotides) under uncultured Neocallimastigales. RNAcentral describes it as "partial large subunit ribosomal RNA". It matches the Rfam family "Eukaryotic large subunit ribosomal RNA", at positions 22 to 635 of the family's 3401-position model. The record is from RNAcentral. Lineage: Eukaryota; Fungi; Neocallimastigomycota; Neocallimastigomycetes; Neocallimastigales.